RNAcentral lists this ribosomal RNA (492 nucleotides) under uncultured bacterium. RNAcentral describes it as "partial 16S ribosomal RNA". It matches the Rfam family "Bacterial small subunit ribosomal RNA", at positions 29 to 507 of the family's 1533-position model. The record is from RNAcentral.
AGUGAACGCUGGCGGUAGGCCUAACACAUGCAAGUCGAACGGCAGCACAGUAAGAGCUUGCUCUUACGGGUGGCGAGUGGCGGACGGGUGAGGAAUACAUCGGAAUCUACUUUUUCGUGGGGGAUAACGUAGGGAAACUUACGCUAAUACCGCAUACGACCUACGGGUGAAAGCAGGGGAUCUUCGGACCUUGCGCGAUUGAAUGAGCCGAUGUCGGAUUAGCUAGUUGGCGGGGUAAAGGCCCACCAAGGCGACGAUCCGUAGCUGGUCUGAGAGGAUGAUCGGCCACACUGGAACUGAGACACGGUCCAGACUCCUACGGGAGGCCGCAGUGGGGAAUAUUGGACAAUGGGCGCAAGCCUGAUCCAGCCAUACUGCGUGGGUGAAGAAGGCCUUCGGGUUGUAAAGCCCUUUUGUUGGGAAAGAAAAGCAGCAGGUUAAUACCCCGCUGUUCUGACGGUACCCAAAGAAUAAGCACCGGCUAACUUCGUG